GACGAACGCUGGCGGCGCGCCUAACACAUGCAAGUCGAACGGAGAAAGAAACAGCUUGCUGGAUCUUUCUUAGUGGCGGACGGGUGAGUAACACGUGAGCAACCUGCCCUUCAGAGUGGAAUAACGUUUGGAAACGAACGCUAAUACCGCAUAACACCAUUGGAUGGCAUCAUCUGAUGGUCAAAGAUUUAUCGCUGAGGGAUGGGCUCGCGUCCGAUUAGGUAGUUGGUGAGAUAACAGCCCACCAAGCCGACGAUCGGUAGCCGGACUGAGAGGUUGAACGGCCACAUUGGGACUGAGACACGGCCCAGACUCCUACGGGAGGCAGCAGUGGGGGAUAUUGCACAAUGGGGGAAACCCUGAUGCAGCGACGCCGCGUGAGGGAAGACGGUCUUCGGAUUGUAAAACCUCUGUCCUUGGUGAAGAAUAAAUGACGGUAGCCUUGGAGGAAGCCACGGCUAACUACGUG
This 469-nucleotide ribosomal RNA is filed under the name uncultured bacterium. RNAcentral's name for it is "bacterial SSU rRNA". It matches the Rfam family "Bacterial small subunit ribosomal RNA", at positions 28 to 507 of the family's 1533-position model. The record is from RNAcentral.